UGAGGAAUAUUGGACAAUGGGCGCAAGCCUGAUCCAGCCAUGCCGCGUGCAGGAAGAAGCAUCUAUGGUGUGUAAACUGCUUUUGUACGGGAAGAAACACUCCUACGUGUAGGAGCUUGACGGUACCGUAAGUAUAAGGAUCGGCUAACUCCGUGCCAGCAGCCGCGGUAAUUCGGAGGAUCCAAGCGUUAUCCGGCAUCAUUGGGUUUAAAGGGUCCGUAGGCGGUUUAGUAAGUCAGUGGUGAAAGCCCAUCGCUCAACGAUGGAACGGCCAUUGAUACUGCUAGACUUGAAUUAUUAGGAAGUAACUAGGAUAUGUAGUGUAGCGGUGAAAUGCUUAGAUAUUACAUGGAAUACCAAUUGCGAAGGCAGGUUACUACUAAUAGAUUGACGCUGAUGGACGAAAGCGUGGGGAGCGAACA
RNAcentral lists this ribosomal RNA (422 nucleotides) under uncultured bacterium. RNAcentral's name for it is "bacterial SSU rRNA". It matches the Rfam family "Bacterial small subunit ribosomal RNA", at positions 355 to 774 of the family's 1533-position model. The record is from RNAcentral.